GCAAGUCGAGCGGCAGCGGGAAGAAGCUUGUCUUCUUUGCCGGCGAGCGGCGGACGGGUGGGUAAUGUCUGGGGAUCUGCCCGAUGGAGGGGGAUAACUACUGGAAACGGUAGCUAAUACCGCAUAAUGUCGCGAGACCAAAGUGGGGGACCUUCGGGCCUCACACCAUCGGAUGAACCCAGAUGGGAUUAGCUAGUAGGUGGGGUAAUGGCUCACCUAGGCGACGAUCCCUAGCUGGUCUGAGAGGAUGACCAGCCACACUGGAACUGAGACACGGUCCAGACUCCUACGGGAGGCAGCAGUGGGGAAUAUUGCACAAUGGGGGAAACCCUGAUGCAGCCAUGCCGCGUGUGUGAAGAAGGCCUUCGGGUUGUAAAGCACUUUCAGCGGGGAAGAAAGCGAUGGCGUAAAUAGCGCCGUUGAUUGACGUUACCCGCAGAAGAAGCACCGGCUAACUCCGUGCCAGCAGCCGCGGUAAUACGGAGGGUGCAAGCGUUGAUCGGAAUUACUGGGCGUAAAGCGUACGCAGGCGGUCUGUUAAGUCAGAUGUGAAAUCCCCGGGCUCAACCUGGGAACUGCAUUUGAAACUGGCAGGCUAGAGUCUCGUAGAGGGGGGUAGAAUUCCAGGUGUAGCGGUGAAAUGCGUAGAGAUCUGGAGGAAUACCGGUGGCGAAGGCGGCCCCCUGGACGAAGACUGACGCUCAGGUACGAAAGCGUGGGGAGCAAACAGGAUUAGAUACCCUGGUAGUCCGCGCUGUAAACGAUGUCGAUUUGAAGGUCGUGGCCCUGAGCCGUGGCUUUCGGAGCUAACGCGUUAAAUCGACCGCCUGGGGAGUACGGCCGCAAGGUUAAAACUCAAAUGAAUUGACGGGGGCCCGCACAAGCGGUGGAGCAUGUGGUUUAAUUCGAUGCAACGCGAAGAACCUUACCUACUCUUGACAUCCAGAGAACGUGGCAGAGAUGCCGUGGUGCCUUCGGGAACUCUGAGACAGGUGCUGCAUGGCUGUCGUCAG
RNAcentral lists this ribosomal RNA (1013 nucleotides) under bacterium endosymbiont of Rhamphus pulicarius. RNAcentral describes it as "bacterial SSU rRNA". It matches the Rfam family "Bacterial small subunit ribosomal RNA", at positions 57 to 1058 of the family's 1533-position model. Lineage: Bacteria; Pseudomonadati; Pseudomonadota; Gammaproteobacteria; Enterobacterales; Enterobacteriaceae. The record is from RNAcentral.